Molecule: ribosomal RNA, 195 nt
Filed under: uncultured Rhizophagus
Lineage: Eukaryota; Fungi; Glomeromycota; Glomeromycetes; Glomerales; Glomeraceae
Description: partial 18S ribosomal RNA
Rfam family: Eukaryotic small subunit ribosomal RNA
Source: RNAcentral
AGCAGCCGCGGUAAUUCCAGCUCCAAUAGCGUAUAUUAAAGUUGUUGCAGUUAAAAAGCUCGUAGUUGAAUUUCGGAAUAAGCAGGUCGGUCGUGCCACAGGUAUGUACUGGUCUUGCUGAUUCCUCCUUCCUGAUGAACCGUAAUGCCAUUAAUUUGGUGUUGCGGGGAAUUUGGACUGUUACUUUGAAAAAAU